Uranotaenia lowii is the source of this 873-nucleotide long non-coding RNA. RefSeq lists it as uncharacterized. The record is from RefSeq and is a predicted model, not a curated record. Lineage: Eukaryota; Metazoa; Arthropoda; Insecta; Diptera; Culicidae. The transcript is spliced from 3 exons.
CAGUUAGAUUUUAAUAAUAAUUUUUUUUUGCUACGGUUCAAACUUCUAACAUUCGUAAAUAAAAUAAUGAUUUUCUAAUUUCAGCAAAAAACGGAACAUCAUGUGAAAGUGUCGGGCCCAUUUUUCUCCCAUAACAGUGCGCCCAUGGAGAAAAAGCAUUUAUAUGUUUCUCCCACUCCACCCAAUUUAAUUUUUAGUUUGUUUGUUUUGGUUUUUAUAUUUUAGUAAGUGGAUUGUAGUUUUUAACAGUUUCUGAUGGUUUUGGCAGUCGCUAAAACUUCAAAUCUACCCAGAUUUUCCAGAAACGAUACGGGACCAUUUAACAUUAGAGAACUGAUCACAUUCACGGUGGAAUUUUCGACGUUGCUCUUGCAUUAUUCUUGCAAAUAUUUCCUGUUCAAUCAUUCCAGGUGAUACGAUGAUGAUAGUCGAAAACGAACCAUUUCAUCCUUAUUCGUCUGCAUGACAUAAUCGAUAAUCGCAGCACAUCGGCUGAAAUGUUGUUCAGAUGUUUUUGUAAAGUGGAACGAUAAUUUAGGAAGCCUACCGACUUUAUUCCGGAAUCCAGUCAUGACUAAAUUUACAAACAUGUAUCAAGCCGUAUCGCAAUACUCACCCAAACGGCUGCUGCUUUAUUCGCAUACAGGACACACAGGCAACAUUGUUUUUAAAUUGGGUCGUGUGGAUGUUCUGCCCGAACGAAUUCAAGGAAAACAUCGCCUAAUAUACAUUUUAUCAUGUUACCACCAUCAGAUCGAUUAUUUUUUGGGUGGAAAAGCUUCCAUGCGACCGAAAUAUGGCACAUCAGAAUUGUUUAAAUUUAGCUCAGAAAUGAUCCAUUUUAUAAGUGAUUAAGUGUAUAACUUUAAUUGA